CUGGAUUAAAGGAACACCAUAAAUGAGAGAUGGCAAGCUGUGGUCCAUGGGCCCAUUCCAGCUCACCUGUUUUGUAGGACUGCACUACUUGGCUACGUGUGGUUGAAUGAGAUCAAAUGACUAGUCCGGGACAACGAGCUGAAAGCAGGAGUGAUGUGUCACUUUCCAGGAUGGAGCGUUUUGUUGCCACAAGACCCUCUGAGCAGUCUAUCCUUCCAACAUUGUGAAUCAACGUCAGAGCGGAUAGCUGCUCCAUUAGCCUGGGUGCCUGAAUAACUGUGAUGAGCAGAGGACACUGCCCAUCUGCAAUGGACAUGUAGCCAGUGGGACUUGUCACUGAGCAAGAAAUAGGCUUUGCUGUGUUAAGUCUUUGAAAUUUAAGGGAUCUUUUGUUACUACAGUAUAAUAUAGCCUAUACUGACUGAUACAUGGCUAAAUAAAUGGUAUUUGUGACUACUA
Molecule: non-coding RNA, 459 nt
Organism: Odocoileus virginianus texanus
Lineage: Eukaryota; Metazoa; Chordata; Mammalia; Artiodactyla; Cervidae
Source: RefSeq, a predicted model, not a curated record